UACGUAGGGUGCGAGCGUUGUCCGGAAUUACUGGGCGUAAAGAGCUCGUAGGUGGUUUGUCGCGUUGUCCGUGAAAACUCACAACUCAAUUGUGGGCGUGCGGGCGAUACGGGCAGACUGGAGUACUGCAGGGGAGACUGGAAUUCCUGGUGUAGCGGUGGAAUGCGCAGAUAUCAGGAGGAACACCGGUGGCGAAGGCGCACAUCUGGCCCGAUACUGACGCUGAAGCGCGAAAGCUAGGGGAGCAAACGGG
This 253-nucleotide ribosomal RNA is filed under the name uncultured bacterium. RNAcentral describes it as "partial 16S ribosomal RNA". It matches the Rfam family "Bacterial small subunit ribosomal RNA", at positions 524 to 776 of the family's 1533-position model. The record is from RNAcentral.